GAACUCUCUGCUCACUUACAAAACAUCCUCUGCUUGCUUUUGGAACAAAAAUGCAGCGUUGCCUGGCAAUCUCUCAGCCAAUAAAAUGAAAGUGUUGAACUGGGUGCGUUUGUUGCCUUCUAGUGUGUGAG
Xiphophorus hellerii (green swordtail) is the source of this 131-nucleotide long non-coding RNA. RefSeq lists it as uncharacterized. Lineage: Eukaryota; Metazoa; Chordata; Actinopteri; Cyprinodontiformes; Poeciliidae. The transcript is spliced from 3 exons. The record is from RefSeq and is a predicted model, not a curated record.